This is a non-coding RNA of Podarcis lilfordi (Lilford's wall lizard), 70 nucleotides long. The record is from the annotation of a GenBank genome assembly. NCBI's taxonomy places the organism in Eukaryota, Metazoa, Chordata, Lepidosauria, Squamata, Lacertidae.
GGAUGGCUCAGUUGGUUAGAGUGCAGUGCUGAUAAUGCCCGGGUUGCAGGUUCGAUCCCUGAAAGGGACA